Molecule: non-coding RNA, 1092 nt
Organism: Misgurnus anguillicaudatus (oriental weatherfish)
Lineage: Eukaryota; Metazoa; Chordata; Actinopteri; Cypriniformes; Cobitidae
Source: RefSeq, a predicted model, not a curated record
AUAAACCAUAGACAAUGCAUACCUAAUGAGUAAAAAAUAACCUUAUUCAUUUUUCAUGAUCAGAAAUCCAUGAUUCUUUUUAUGUGCACCUGUUGAUGACGUGAUGAUUGGUACAGUUUAGGCCCUGUUAAUUAUUAAAAAUUAAGACACAUUAUUUACUAUUCAGUGCAUUUUGCUUAUUUAACUCUUUUGUCUGAAUUACUCGUUUUAUUAAAGAGAAACAAAAAAGCAAAAGGAUGCAAACAGCACAGAGUGUUUGAUAUUGGAAGCUGCGCGCACGUGACAGCAGAGCCGGCGCGCUCACUGUUGUCGUUUGGCGAACUCGAGGACGCGGCAGAACCGAGCCGGCUGAGACCCGCCGUGGGAAACCAAUACACGUUUUCAUUCAAGAAAUAUCGAAGGUAUUUGAGCUUUUGAGCGAAGACGAUGGAGGGUUACGGGCUGUCAGAGGACGAGAUCUUCUCAUCGUGUCUGCUCAACUUCACGUGCGACUAUUCAUAUGAGCAGUCUGGUACGGGAGAGCAAUGUCAUAUUGGAUUCUGACAGAACCGUUAAACAGUUGGAGAUGUCUGUGCAGUAUCAUAGAAAAAACUCUUCAACGCUAGUGGAAAUCUCACAUGGUGCCGGAUGAAGGCCACCCUCGUGUAGUGGGUCUGCUCUUACAGAUGCAAGGGGCCAAGUACCUGGGAGGGGAUUAAUUACCAGACAGCUGCCCAACAGCUCUUUGCUCACUCUUGGGAAGGCCAUGGCAUCCAGCCCCUACAGAAAUAACUUGUGAGAAGGGUGUAGGGCUUUUGCAAAUAUAGGGGUGAGCGGGGCAAAAACUAACGCGGGGUUAGUUGUAACACGGACUGUUUACAUUGUUGCACAAGGUUGAGCGUUUUGGUUUUCCGGUAUUUUUUCAUGCUGCCAAAAGACGAUCUCCCGUAAAUAACUGGAAAUGUAUAAUGUUGUUCCAGAGAGUUAUUGAUGAACGAGUGUUUUGGUGGCAUUUAAGUAAAUUUUUUCAUCAUAUGUUUUUUUUCGGUUUCUAAGUUAGGUGUUUCACUGCAAUUCACAUAAUGUUUUUUAUGUAUUAUUUUCAUCUGCUUU